This 253-nucleotide ribosomal RNA is filed under the name uncultured bacterium. RNAcentral's name for it is "partial 16S ribosomal RNA". It matches the Rfam family "Bacterial small subunit ribosomal RNA", at positions 524 to 776 of the family's 1533-position model. The record is from RNAcentral.
UACGGAGGGGGCUAGCGUUGUUCGGAAUUACUGGGCGUAAAGCGCACGUAGGCGGCUUUGUAAGUUAGAGGUGAAAGCCCGGGGCUCAACUCCGGAAUUGCCUUUAAGACUGCAUCGCUAGAAUUGUGGAGAGGUAAGUGGAAUUCCGAGUGUAGAGGUGAAAUUCGUAGAUAUUCGGAAGAACACCAGUGGCGAAGGCGACUAACUGGACAUGUAUUGACGCUGAGGUGCGAAAGCGUGGGGAGCAAACAGG